UACAGAGGUCUCGAGCGUUAGGCGGAAUCACUGGGCUUAAAGCGUGUGUAGGCGGAUCCGUAAGUACCUUGUGAAAUCCCACGGCUUAACCGUGGAACUGCUUGGUAUACUGCGGGUCUUGAGCCACCUAGGGGCGAGCGGAACAGAUGGUGGAGCGGUGAAAUGCGUAGAUAUCAUCUGGAACGCCAACGGUGAAAACAGCUCGCUGGGGGUGUGCUGACGCUGAGACACGAAAGCCAGGGGAGCAAACGGG
RNAcentral lists this ribosomal RNA (253 nucleotides) under uncultured bacterium. RNAcentral describes it as "partial 16S ribosomal RNA". It matches the Rfam family "Bacterial small subunit ribosomal RNA", at positions 524 to 776 of the family's 1533-position model. The record is from RNAcentral.